This 281-nucleotide ribosomal RNA is filed under the name uncultured bacterium. RNAcentral's name for it is "partial 16S ribosomal RNA". It matches the Rfam family "Bacterial small subunit ribosomal RNA", at positions 522 to 793 of the family's 1533-position model. The record is from RNAcentral.
AAUACGGAGGGGUGCGAGCGUUAAUCGGAAUUACUGGGCGUAAAGCGCAUGCAGGCGGCCUGUUAAGUCAGAUGUGAAAGACCCGGGGCGUUAACCUCGGAAUUGCAUUUGAAACUAGGCAGGCUAGAGUCUUGUAGAGGGGGGUAGGAAUUUCAGGUGUAGCGGUGAAAUAGCGUAGAGAUCUGAAGGAAUACCAGUGGCGAAGGCGGCCCCCUGGACAAAGACUGACGCUCAGAUGCGAAAGCGUGGGGGAGCCAAACAGGAUUAGAUACCCCUGGUAG